This 94-nucleotide ribosomal RNA is filed under the name Bonellia viridis. RNAcentral's name for it is "partial ribosomal RNA large subunit". The record is from RNAcentral. Lineage: Eukaryota; Metazoa; Annelida; Polychaeta; Echiuroidea; Bonelliidae.
AGAUAGGAGAAUUCCGUUCUGACGAAACNGGAUUUUNUGAAUGAAUGAUUUUGACNUGUGAUCGAAAGGGAAUCGGGNUUAACAUCCCGAACUG